AUUGAACGCUGGCGGCAGGCCUAACACAUGCAAGUCGAGCGGAUGAAGGGAGCUUGCUCCUGGAUUCAGCGGCGGACGGGUGAGUAAUUCCUAGGAAUCUGCCUUGUCGUUGGGGAUAACGUCCGGUAACGGGCGCUAAUAUCGCAUACGUUCUGAGGUAGAAAGUGGGGGAUCUUGGGACCUCACUCUAUUUGCUUAGCCUAGGUCUGAUUAGCUAGUUGGUUGGGUAAUGGCCUACCAAGGGGACGAACCGUAACUGGUCAGAUAGGAGGCUGAGUAACACGGGACCUGGAACACGGUCCAGACUCCUACGGGAGGCACAAGAGGGGAAUAUUGGACAUGGGGGGAAGGCUGAACGCAGCCAGGCCGGGUGGUUGAAGAAGUUUUUCGGAUGUUAAAGCACGUUAAGUGGGGAGGACGGGCAGUAAGUUAAUACCUUGAUGUUUUGACGGUACCAACAGAAUAAGCACCGGCUAACUUCGUG
RNAcentral lists this ribosomal RNA (484 nucleotides) under uncultured bacterium. Its description in RNAcentral is "partial 16S ribosomal RNA". It matches the Rfam family "Bacterial small subunit ribosomal RNA", at positions 30 to 507 of the family's 1533-position model. The record is from RNAcentral.